ACCGUCCGUUCAGUUGGACAACUAUAUGACAAUUUGACCUCAAAUCAGGUAGGACUACCCGCUGAACUUAAGCAUAUCA
Molecule: ribosomal RNA, 79 nt
Filed under: Galerina paludosa
Lineage: Eukaryota; Fungi; Basidiomycota; Agaricomycetes; Agaricales; Galerinaceae
Description: partial 28S ribosomal RNA
Source: RNAcentral